This is a non-coding RNA of Malus domestica (apple), 2322 nucleotides long. Lineage: Eukaryota; Viridiplantae; Streptophyta; Magnoliopsida; Rosales; Rosaceae. The record is from RefSeq and is a predicted model, not a curated record.
GAGCUUGCAGCAUAUGAGCCUGAUUGGUACUACAUUAGAUCUGCAUCCAUGGCAAGGAAAAUCUACUUGAGGGGUGGUCUUGGUGUUGGUGCCUUCCGCAGGAUCUAUGGAGGGAGCAAGAGGAACUGAAGGGAAACAGAGAAUUACAACAGAGGUGCUGCGGUUGGAGAGAAACCAAUAAACUUUGGUAGAUUCCACAACAUCAGAGAUGGUAAUUUUCAAAACUAACAAGGUUAUAAAGAGAUAGUGACUCCAAAUUUGGAAAGAUAUAGCCAACAGUCACCAACAUGGAUGGUGUAGCUUUUCAACUUAUCCGACAACAAGUUGUUCGGAAGAAGGUUAGCAUCUGGAACGUGUAUGUUUAAUGCAGUUAGCUGAGACAAGUGCUUCAGCAUCAGGAACAUUAUUUCUUCCAUCGAUCAGACCUUCCACCCUCCCAUUGCUCAAUGCUGUUUAUUCCCAUUCUCAAGUCUUCUAGUCUUUUCAAGCUUGAUGAAACAUUAGGUGGAAUCAGUACAAUCUCAGAGAAACCACUCAAAUCUAAUUGUAGACGAGUCAGUUGCUCUGUUUCAUCAUGCAACUCUUUAACCUGGGAGUGGGCAAGGCAAGGCUAAGAAUUUUCAAGUUUCUUAGCUCUCCAACUAGAACAAUAUCCCCCAACACGCACUGAUCUAAGCACAAUGUUUGAAGAAUUGGUAGGUAUUUAAGAGAUGGAGAUAAUGAUGGAAAAUGAAGCACAGUUAAAUCCAACACUUUGAGCUCUUUCAUCUCUCCGCGAUUCUUCUUCGCAAAGUCAAGCUGAAAAUCUUUUUGGCUUGUCUGAAAACCUGUUUGGCAUCAAAUUAAAGGACAAAUGGAGCAUGAGUUCAAGUGACUCCUUAGGUUUGAAGGUUGCUUUUGUAGUGAAUCAGGUAUCCCACUUGACGUCCAACUGGAACAACUGUGUACUCAAUUAUUUUUCCAACGACCUUGGGAAUAAAUGAAGGUAAGACAAAACAACAUGCCACUUUCAGUUUAGUAAUAUAUCUGUUGAACAUAAACGAAGCCAAAAACAUGGAAAAAGAUCUAGAAAUUUAUGCAACAAAAUAAAAUGAAAAAUGGAAAGACAAGAAUAAAAUGUGAUUGACAUUGAAUAAUGAAACAAAAGACAUACCUUAGCUCGUGAGAGGGAGACGAACGGCAAAGAAGAAGAGAGUAUGUAACUUGUGAGAGUGAGAGUAACGGCAAAGUAAAAGCAAAGUGAAGGUGAACGACAACAGAAAUUGCAAAGUUGUGUUGUGAAAUGAAAUUAGAGGACAAAUGAAGAUAAGUGAAAUAAGUGUGGUUUACCGUAUUAAAACGAAGUCGGAUGAGUUGCUAUUCAAUAAUACGGUCUAGUUGUAUUUUUCUUCAUUUGUAAGCAAGGAGUCUUAGAUUCUAACUUCGUGAAUGAUGAUUGAUAAGUUUGAUACCAAUUUAUUCUUACCACCUUUAGUUAAUCUCUUUAUGGCCCGAUAUUAUUUUUAGUGAUGCUCAAUAUCCAUCUCAUUCUGCACCCCAAGUCCACUGUGAGAUAACUUGCAUAAGAAUCUUUUUUCUUCAAGCUCUCAAAAUUACUCCUUCCCUCCAUUGUAGAAAGAUGGCAAUGGUCGAGAUUUAACAAAGAGAGGUUUACGAUUCUCCAAUGAUGUUUUUUUAUAGGUUUGAUCAUGUAUAUGAGCAUUUGAUAGUGAAUACAUGUAUAGUGCUUCACAAUUGAAAAGAAGUGGAAUCUUAGUUUCAGGUAAUUACCGAGAUUUUUGUUGAUCCCCUUUUGUUGUGCUGCCAAUUUUGAGUUCCUAUCAUGUAAAUUGGUUGACUAAAAUGUUAGUGUAUGCAAAAAGGUUGUUGAUGCUGAUGGUUUUUUUCUGUAACUGAUUUAAGAGUUGCUAUUGUAUUCUUAGCAUAAACGUCAGACUGCCAAUGACAUCCUUUUGUUUUCUAUAGCUGCCAGUGUCUAAACCUCCAACAAAAUGGGAAACUUUUGCCAAAACAAAAGGGAUUUCCCUUGAGAGAUGGUUGUGUGAGACACUGAGAACCUAUAAAUUUGUGAGAUGUUCCAAGUCUGAAGGUAUCACUCUGGAGAGAGAAUUGCUGGGUCCAAGUUGUAACUCUGGAGUAAUUUACCAAUCUGUGCCGGUAUGUCACCAGUCAAGUGGAUCUGGCUCAAGUUUAGAAGCUGCUGUUUUGUCAUUUGUCCGAGCUCAGGUGGGAUUGGACCUGUAAUUUUAUUUCAACCCAUACGCAUUUUCCCCACUGUGGUCAGAGUGUACCAACAAACUGGAUCUCAUCAAGAGCAAUGAA